CAACAGGGAUUGCCUCAGUAACGGCGAGUGAAGCGGCAACAGCUCAAAUUUGAAAUCUGGCCUCGGCCCGAGUUGUAAUUUGUAGAGGAAGCUUUUGGUGCGGCACCGACCGAGUCCCCUGGAACGGGGCGCCAUAGAGGGUGAGAGCCCCGUAUGGUUGGACGCCUAUCCUCUGUAAAGCUCCUUCGACGAGUCGAGUAGUUUGGGAAUGCUGCUCAAAAUGGGAGGUAAAUUUCUUCUAAAGCUAAAUACUGGCCAGAGACCGAUAGCGCACAAGUAGAGUGAUCGAAAGAUGAAAAGCACUUUGAAAAGAGGGUUAAAUAGCACGUGAAAUUGUUGAAAGGGAAGCGCUUGUGACCAGACUUGCGCCUCGUCGAUCAUCCGGGGUUCUCCCCGGUGCACUCGGCGGGGCUCAGGCCAGCAUCGGUUCUCGCUGGGGGACAAAGGCUCCGGGAACGUGGCUCCUUCGGGAGUGUUAUAGCCCGGGGCGCAAUGCCCUCGCGGGGACCGAGGACCGCGCUUCGGCAAGGAUGCUGGCGUAAUGGUCAUCAGCGACCCGUCUUGAAACACGGACCAAGGAGUCAAGGUUUUGCGCGAGUGUUUGGGUGUAAAACCCGCACGCGUAAUGAAAGUGAACGUAGGUGAGAGCUUCGGCGCAUCAUCGACCGAUCCUGAUGUACUCGGAUGGAUUUGAGUAGGAGCGUUAAGCCUUGGACCCGAAAGAUGGUGAACUAUGCUUGGAUAGGGUGAAGCCAGAGGAAACUCUGGUGGAGGCUCGCAGCGGUUCUGACGUGCAAAUCGAUCGUCAAAUCUGAGCAUGGGGGCGAAAGACUAAUCGAACCAUCUAGUAGCUGGUUACCGCCGAAGUUUCCCUCAGGAUAGCAGUGUUGAUCUUCAGUUUUAUGAGGUAAAGCGAAUGAUUAGGGACUCGGGGGCGCUUUUUAGCCUUCAUCCAUUCUCAAACUUUAAAUAUGUAAGAAGCCCUUGUUACUUAAUUGAACGUGGGCAUUCGAAUGUACCAACACUAGUGGGCCAUUUUUGGUAAGCAGAACUGGCGAUGCGGGAUGAACCGAACGCGGGGUUAAGGUGCCGGAGUGGACGCUCAUCAGACACCACAAAAGGCGUUAGUACAUCUUGACAGCAGGACGGUGGCCAUGGAAGUCGGAAUCCGCUAAGGACUGUGUAACAACUCACCUGCCGAAUGUACUAGCCCUGAAAAUGGAUGGCGCUCAAGCGUCCCACCCAUACCCCGCCCUCAGGGUAGAAACGAUGCCCUGAGGAGUAGGCGGCCGUGGAGGUCAGUGACGAAGCCUAGGGCGCGAGCCCGGGUCGAACGGCCUCUAGUGCAGAUCUGG
RNAcentral lists this ribosomal RNA (1355 nucleotides) under Cercophora angulispora. Its description in RNAcentral is "Triangularia angulispora partial 28S ribosomal RNA". It matches the Rfam family "Eukaryotic large subunit ribosomal RNA", at positions 66 to 1453 of the family's 3401-position model. Lineage: Eukaryota; Fungi; Ascomycota; Sordariomycetes; Sordariales; Lasiosphaeriaceae. The record is from RNAcentral.